GCGCCCGUAACUCAGCUGGAUAGAGCGUCACCGCACGAAGGUGCAGGUCACACGUUCGAUCGCGUCGGGCGCGCCA
RNAcentral lists this transfer RNA (76 nucleotides) under Bradyrhizobium cytisi. Its description in RNAcentral is "tRNA-Arg". The record is from RNAcentral. Lineage: Bacteria; Pseudomonadati; Pseudomonadota; Alphaproteobacteria; Hyphomicrobiales; Nitrobacteraceae.